CUGGCCCCUAGGGCCCGAGUUGUAAUUUGCAAGAUGCUUUUGGCAAGGUGCCUUCCGAGUUCCCUGGAACGGGACGCCAUAGAGGGUGAGAGCCCCGUCUGGUUGGAUGCCGAGCCUCUGUAAAGCUCCUUCGACGAGUCGAGUAGUUUGGGAAUGCUGCUCUAAAUGGGAGGUAUAUGUCUUCUAAAGCUAAAUACCGGCCAGAGACCGAUAGCGCACAAGUAGAGUGAUCGAAAGAUGAAAAGCACUUUGAAAAGAGGGUUAAAUAGUACGUGAAAUUGUUGAAAGGGAAGCACUUAUGACCAGACUUGGACCCGGUGAAUCAUCCAGCGUUCUCGCUGGUGCACUUUGCCGGGCUCAGGCCAGCAUCAGUUUGCCCCGGGGGAUAAAGGCUUUGGGAAUGUGGCUCCCUCGGGAGUGUUAUAGCCCAUUGCACAAUACCCUGGGGCGGACUGAGGUUCGCGCAUCUGCAAGGAUGCUGGCGUAAUGGUCAUCAGUGACCCGUCUUGAAACACGGACCAAGGAGUCGUCUUCGUAUGCGAGUGUUCGGGUGUAAAACCCCUACGCGUAAUGAAAGUGAACGCAGGUGAGAGCUUCGGCGCAUCAUCGACCGAUCCUGAUGUUCUCGGAUGGAUUUGAGUAAGAGCAUACGGGGCCGGACCCGAAAGAAGGUGAACUAUGCCUGUAUAGGGUGAAGCCAGAGGAAACUCUGGUGGAGGCUCGCA
RNAcentral lists this ribosomal RNA (725 nucleotides) under Pochonia chlamydosporia. RNAcentral describes it as "LSU rRNA". It matches the Rfam family "Eukaryotic large subunit ribosomal RNA", at positions 122 to 879 of the family's 3401-position model. Lineage: Eukaryota; Fungi; Ascomycota; Sordariomycetes; Hypocreales; Clavicipitaceae. The record is from RNAcentral.